Molecule: transfer RNA, 68 nt
Filed under: Stenella longirostris (spinner dolphin)
Lineage: Eukaryota; Metazoa; Chordata; Mammalia; Artiodactyla; Delphinidae
Description: tRNA-Asp
Source: RNAcentral
GAGAUAUUAGUAAAGUCUUACGUAACUUUGUCAAAGUUAAAUCACAAGUGAAAAUCUUGUAUAUCUCC